Bombyx mori (domestic silkworm) is the source of this 105-nucleotide non-coding RNA. Lineage: Eukaryota; Metazoa; Arthropoda; Insecta; Lepidoptera; Bombycidae. The record is from RefSeq and is marked provisional.
CAAUGGCACCAUUAGAUACUGAUGCGUGUGUUAGUCAAUUAGUCAAGAUAACGGUGCGUCUGGCAUUAUAUGACUAGAUCUACCACAGCAACAGGGCUGGGUCGA